GGAGGACCCAUCAAAAACACCUUGUGUAAUGAAAAAAACCCAGAUAUAUAAUCUCUCCCUAUAUAUUCUGCAUGCAUUGAGGUAGCCUCAACCCCUCAGGGACCUUGGUACAGAAAAGGAACCUGUGACACACAGCAACUGCUAUCUGAAGGACAAAAAGAAGCCAAUGAUACCAAGACAAGCUCAUAACAGAGAUUUAAUCACCAGAUGUGUACGCAUGAAAAUACAGUGAGAUGAGUCAGAAAAUGGGUAAGGAGGGUCCCAGACUCUCCAAGAACCAGAAGUUCUCCGAGCACUUCAGCAUCCACUGCUGCCCGCCCUUCACCUUCCUCAACUCCAAGCGGGAGAUCGUGGAUCGGAAAUACAGCCUCUGCAAGAGCGGCUGCUUCUACCAGAAGAAAGAGGAGGACUGGAUCUGCUGCGCCUGCCAGAAGACCAGAUUGAGAAGAAGAACCAAGCCAACUCCAAGAAAGAAGUGAUAAAGGAGUUUCAAGUGAAUGGAUGGCCUCAGCGGGACUCACUGCUUUGCAACCCAUCUGCCCUUGGACCAAUUAUCUGGCUUUGAAUAUGAUGCAGGGGCAGACACCUGCUCAUAUAGCAACUGCCAUUGCCCCAAAUUCCCAUGAUAUGGGAGUUUCAGGGCAGCCUGCCUGGAGGAAGACACACAGAUUCUGCCUAAAACAGUACCAUCCUGACUCAGCAGUUGUUCACCACCAGGCAACCUGCAUUGGCCCCAUCCGAAUUGCUGACCCACAACAGCACAUUGAAGAUCUCACCCCAUUGUCUUCCUCUGUAAUUACCAAUGAGAAAUAUACUACCAGUCUACUUGUUCUUCUAUUGACUCAAGUUUCUUCAGUUUGAAGAUUUAUGCCUUUCUUCAGGGAUAUGAAAAAAAUUUAUGUUGCACAACCAUCAAAAUAGCAAAAAUAAAAAAAAAAUAUAUUAUCAAGUGUUGGCAAGGAUGUGAGGAAAAUUCUCAUAAGCUACUGAUGAGAAAUUAUAUAUUAUUACACCACCUGGGGGCUCAAUCUGGGGCUACUAACUAUUGUAAUCAAACAACUAUGAUUUUAGGACUCCAUCCUAGAGAAAACUUACACUUUUAGGAAAAUGAUAUGUAUAUAAAUCUAUUCAAUGAAUCAUUGUUUGCGAUUUAAAAAAAAAAAAGAAAGAAAUGUCCACCAA
RNA transcript from Marmota monax (woodchuck), 1182 nucleotides. It is a transcript of the gene named myelin associated oligodendrocyte basic protein, with no coding region annotated. NCBI's taxonomy places the organism in Eukaryota, Metazoa, Chordata, Mammalia, Rodentia, Sciuridae. The record is from RefSeq and is a predicted model, not a curated record. The transcript has 7 exons.